RNAcentral lists this ribosomal RNA (305 nucleotides) under uncultured bacterium. RNAcentral's name for it is "bacterial SSU rRNA". It matches the Rfam family "Bacterial small subunit ribosomal RNA", at positions 338 to 640 of the family's 1533-position model. The record is from RNAcentral.
CCUACGGGACGCAGCAGUGAGGAAUAUUGGUCAAUGGCCGGAAGGCUGAACCAGCCAAGCCGCGUGAAGGACGAAGGUGCCAAGCAUUGUAAACUUCUUUUGUCAAGGGACAAAAUCAGGCUCGAGAGCCUGACCGAGGGUACUUGAAGAAAAAGCAUCGGCUAACUACGUGCCAGCAGCCGCGGUAAUACGUAGGGGGCAAGCGUUAUCCGGAUUUACUGGGUGUAAAGGGAGCGUAGGCGGUUUAGCAAGUCAGAAGUGAAAGCCCGGGGCUCAACUCCGGGACUGCUUUUGAAACUGUUGAA